GACGAACGCUGGCGGCGUGCUUAACACAUGCAAGUCGAACGGAAAGGCCCUGCUUUUGUGGGGUGCUCGAGUGGCGAACGGGUGAGUAACACGUGAGUAACCUGCCCUUGACUUUGGGAUAACUUCAGGAAACUGGGGCUAAUACCGGAUAGGAGCUCCUGCUGCAUGGUGGGGGUUGGAAAGUUUCGGCGGUUGGGGAUGGACUCGCGGCUUAUCAGCUUGUUGGUGGGGUAGUGGCUUACCAAGGCUUUGACGGGUAGCCGGCCUGAGAGGGUGACCGGCCACCUGGGGCCUGAGAUACGGAGCAGACGCCUACGGGAGGCAGCAGUGGGGAAUAUUGCACAAUGGGGGGAAGCGUGAUGCAGAAACGCCGCGUGCGGGAUGACGGCCUUCGGGUUGUAAACCGCUUUCGCCUGUGACGAAGCGUGAGUGACGGUAAUGGGUAAAGAAGCACCGGCUAACUACGUG
RNAcentral lists this ribosomal RNA (468 nucleotides) under uncultured bacterium. RNAcentral describes it as "partial 16S ribosomal RNA". It matches the Rfam family "Bacterial small subunit ribosomal RNA", at positions 28 to 507 of the family's 1533-position model. The record is from RNAcentral.